RNAcentral lists this ribosomal RNA (679 nucleotides) under uncultured bacterium. RNAcentral describes it as "bacterial SSU rRNA". It matches the Rfam family "Bacterial small subunit ribosomal RNA", at positions 8 to 732 of the family's 1533-position model. The record is from RNAcentral.
AGGGUUUGAUCAUGGCUCAGAACGUACGCUGGCGGCACGCCUAACACAUGCAAGUCGAACGAAGUAGCAAUACUUAGUGGCAAACGGGUGAGUAACAUGUGGGUAUCUGCCCUUCGGCCUGGAAUAACACGAGGAAACUUGUGCUAAUACCAGAUAAGUCUUUUAAGAGAAAGCUUUAUGCACCGAUGGAUGAGCCCGCACCUGAUUAGUUAGUUGGUGAGGUAAUAGCUCACCAAGACAAUGAUCAGUAGCUGAUUUGAGAGGAUGAUCAGCCACAUUGGGACUGAGACACGGCCCAAACUCCUACGGGAGGCAGCAGUGGGGAAUCUUGCACAAUGGGGGAAACCCUGAUGCAGCGAUGCCGCGUGAGUGAAGAAGGCCUUUGGGUUGUAAAGCUCUUUCGUCGGGGAAGAAAAUGACUGUACCCGAAUAAGAAGGUCCGGCUAACUUCGUGCCAGCAGCCGCGGUAAUACGAAGGGACCUAGCGUAGUUCGGAAUUACUGGGCUUAAAGAGUUCGUAGGUGGUUAAAAUAGUUGGUGGUGAAAUCCCAGAGCUUAACUCUGGAACUGCCAUCAAAACUUUUUAGCUAGAGUAUGAUAGAGGAAAGUAGAAUUUCUAGUGUAGAGGUGAAAUUCGUAGAUAUUAGAAAGAAUACCAAUUGCGAAGGCAGCUUUCUGG